GUCCGAGUAGCCAAGUGGAAAGGCGUUGGUCUGCAAAAUCAAUCAUCGUGGGUUCAAUUCCCACCUCGGACUCCA
RNAcentral lists this transfer RNA (75 nucleotides) under Nostoc sp. T09. Its description in RNAcentral is "tRNA-Cys". It matches the Rfam family "tRNA". From Rfam's summary of the family: Transfer RNA (tRNA) molecules are approximately 80 nucleotides in length. Their secondary structure includes four short double-helical elements and three loops (D, anti-codon, and T loops). The record is from RNAcentral. Lineage: Bacteria; Bacillati; Cyanobacteriota; Cyanophyceae; Nostocales; Nostocaceae. RNAcentral also lists the same sequence under 3 other names.